GUUGGGUUGGACAAAUUGGUUAAGUCACCACCCUUUCAAGGUGGUCAAUAUGGGUUCAGGUCCUAUAUCCUCCGC
RNAcentral lists this transfer RNA (75 nucleotides) under uncultured phage cr151_1. RNAcentral's name for it is "tRNA-Glu". It matches the Rfam family "tRNA". Rfam says of the family: Transfer RNA (tRNA) molecules are approximately 80 nucleotides in length. Their secondary structure includes four short double-helical elements and three loops (D, anti-codon, and T loops). Further hydrogen bonds mediate the characteristic L-shaped molecular structure. tRNAs have two regions of fundamental functional importance: the anti-codon, which is responsible for specific mRNA codon recognition, and the 3' end, to which the tRNAs corresponding amino acid is attached (by aminoacyl-tRNA synthetases). tRNAs cope with the degeneracy of the genetic code in two manners: having more than one tRNA (with a specific anti-codon) for a particular amino acid; and 'wobble' base-pairing, i.e. permitting non-standard base-pairing at the 3rd anti-codon position. Lineage: Duplodnaviria; Heunggongvirae; Uroviricota; Caudoviricetes; Crassvirales; Steigviridae. The record is from RNAcentral.